Molecule: ribosomal RNA, 233 nt
Filed under: uncultured bacterium
Lineage: Bacteria
Description: partial 16S ribosomal RNA
Rfam family: Bacterial small subunit ribosomal RNA
Source: RNAcentral
CGGGACGGGUGAGUAAUGUCUGGGAAACUGCCUGAUGGAGGGGGAUAAUUACUGGAAACGGUAGCUAAUACCGCAUAACGUCGCAAGACCAAAGAGGGGGACCUUCGGGCCUCUUGCCAUCGGAUGUGCCCAGAUGGGAUUAGCUAGUAGGUGGGGUAACGGCUCACCUAGGCGACGAUCCCUAGCUGGUCUGAGAGGAUGACCAGCCACACUGGAACUGAGACACGGUCCAG